This 1072-nucleotide long non-coding RNA is filed under the name Vigna radiata. RNAcentral describes it as "long non-coding RNA (VRAD_LNC014241)". The record is from RNAcentral. Lineage: Eukaryota; Viridiplantae; Streptophyta; Magnoliopsida; Fabales; Fabaceae.
GAGGACGAAGAUGAAGAUUGCGUCGUUCUGGUGAUAUAGCUGAUGGCGGCAAUGGAGGAUCACAAUGAACUAAGGCGCUGCGGAAAGGAUGGUGGCGAUGAUGGAUGGUCUAGGCGAGACCGUGGUAGUGCGAUUGGGUUUCUGCAGGUGUGUGUUCGACGUCUGCGAUUUGCAAUGAUGGCACUGGGGAUUUCUCUACGGUGAGUUGAUUUUUGGAUGACGCUUUCUGUUGCUGGGUUUGUUUGCUGCAGGCGCGAGGAUGAUGUGCGAGGAAGAUGAUUGUGGACGUUACCCGGCGACGUCUUGGGCUUUGCUGGAGAAGAUGAAGCUCGCGAAUUUGAUGGCGGCCUUGGGUGGCAUUCUGCGUCCCGGCGGAGGUUUGUUUGAUGUAGUGGUUCGGUGGCAAGGUAGUUGCUGACGGCAUGGUCGCUGACGGCACCGGUUAAGAUGGUGCGGAAUGGCGACAGGAUUUUCUUGGUAGAGGGGAUGAACGCUUUGGUGGUGGCGGCUGUGCGGCAGGGUGACGACGGCCAUGGGUGGCUAGGGUUUGGAUUUGGGAAUUAGGGUUUCUGUUGGAGAUGGUGAUGACGUGGCAAGAGGGGCUAGGUGGCAUGUUCUGAGUGGUCUAUUUGGUGUGCAGUAGGAUCAGUGAUGUGGCAUUAUCUGGGUGGUUGGAUCUAUUAGUGGUGGACUGCCACGUGGCUAAAUCUGAUGUAAUCUGGUUUAAUUAGUGGUAGGAAGGGUGUGUGUAGGAAAUUAGGGGUUACAGGAUAUAAAAGGCUUAGCGUUUUGGGCUUGGUUGUUGGCCUGGUUUAGAAGAGAGGGGUGCAUGUAGAGAAUUUUGGGGGUGCAAGGGUAAAAUCUGAUUGUUGGGCCUAUCUGGACAUUAUUUUUCAAAUAAAACCUGAUUUUGGGCCUUAAAUUGCAAUUUGGACCAAUAAAACUCUAACUUCAACUGCACAAAUAAAUAUUAGAACAUCCAAGAAUAAUUUAUGCAAUUAAAAUCACUUUUUAAGCCUCUUUAAUUCCAAAACCCAACAAUUCAACUCCACACACAUUCACUUUAAAUCAC